GACGAACGCUGGCGGCGUGCUUAACACAUGCAAGUCGAGCGGUAAGGCCCUUCGGGUACGACGAGCGGCGAACGGGUGAGUAACACGUGGGUGACCUGCCCUCAGCUCUGGGAUAAGCCUGGGAAACCGGGUCUAAUACCGGAUAUGACUCCAUGACGCAUGUUGUGGGGUGGAAAGCCUUGUGCGGCUGAGGAUGGGCCCGCGGCCUAUCAGCUUGUUGGUGAGGAACGGCUCACCAAGGCUUCGACGGGUAGCUGGUCUGAGAGGACGAUCAGCCACACUGGCACUGCGACACGGGCCAGACUCCUACGGGAGGCAGCAGUAAGGAAUAUUGCGCAAUGGGCGAAAGCCUGACGCAGCGACGCCGCGUGGGGGAGUGAAGGUCUUCGGAUUGUAAACCUCUUUCAGCUCCGACGAAGCGAGAGUGACGGUAGGAGCAGAAGAAGCACCGGCCAACU
This 458-nucleotide ribosomal RNA is filed under the name uncultured bacterium. RNAcentral's name for it is "bacterial SSU rRNA". It matches the Rfam family "Bacterial small subunit ribosomal RNA", at positions 28 to 502 of the family's 1533-position model. The record is from RNAcentral.